UUAUUCUACUCCCCGGACCAAACCAAACGCGGCUUCCUGCCAAAUUCUCUAGCUGUCUUGUAGUUCUCACAUCAUCAAGGACAAUGAGAACUUUCUUUUUGUACAAAAGGUUAACUAGAUCUUGAUCUCCUUCUCUCGAAACCUCUCCAACGCGAAGAAUGCAGUGUUCUUCAAAUUGGCUUCGGAUUUUCUUGCAAACAGUAGAGAUAUCUACCUGGCCUCCGGAAAGUGGAUAAUGACAGAAUUUGGAGUAUAUUGACCUUUCAUUCAAUAAAUUGAAGAAAUUGAAGAUCAAAUAGUACUUUUGCUGUUUUUUAUUUGGUAAGUUAUUUGAUAUGUUGAAUCUAUUUUUAUAUGUGUAUGUUGUUAAUUGUUUCUUUUCAUAUAAUAGAAUUCUAUGUGGACCUGAAAAUUUUUUGUAUUUAUAAUAGCUGUUUUUAGUUUUAUAUUAAGGUCCAUAUAUUUGACCUUGUUUAAAUUUGUUAUAUCAGCUUUGUGGUUUAUCCAAAGUAAUCUGUCAAUAGUAGAUCUCGUAUUUCGCUGAUUGUUUUUCUAAUUGUAUGAUAUGCAACAUUUUUUUCAAUGUUUGAAUUUGUGUUAAUAUGCAUUUAAUUUGAUGGAAUUUGAUAGUGUUUAACAUGGAGGAACAUCACAUGAAGGUGCCUUUGUGCAUCCAAAGUAUUGAUUUAAAAGGUUGUAACUGUAAACUUAGUUAUUUGUGUUUUAAAAAUUUUAUUUCCUAUGCCUUUUGUUAAUUAUAUAAAUUGAACAAAUUUAUUUUUAUUUUUAAUAUUUUAAGUACAACAAGCUGUUCAUCAUUUUUCACAUUCCUUCAUGGAUAUGCUAUAAACUGGAAGGAAAUGAUGGAGGUGGACGUAAUGAUGAUUGUAGCAGUUCUUUUGUUGAAAUAGGUGUCUAUGAAAGCAGUCUACAGAAAAAUAAUCGAAUAAGUUCUAGUGGUGAGGCCUGCAUUUUUUCCUAUUUUGAUUUUUUCUUAAUUUGUACAUGCUCUUCCAUUCUGGUUUAAUGUUUAAAUUAUUCCUGCAUAUUGAGCUGAAUUAUGCUCUUCUGUUAAAUCUUUUGCAAGUGUUUAUAAUACCUCAACAAACACAUUAACUAGUACCUCAUCUAACAGUAGAUGUUUCUCAUCCCGAAAAUCAGGUAAAAGGUGGAAGCGGUGGUUUA
Molecule: non-coding RNA, 1185 nt
Organism: Arachis ipaensis
Lineage: Eukaryota; Viridiplantae; Streptophyta; Magnoliopsida; Fabales; Fabaceae
Source: RefSeq, a predicted model, not a curated record